This 447-nucleotide ribosomal RNA is filed under the name uncultured bacterium. RNAcentral's name for it is "bacterial SSU rRNA". It matches the Rfam family "Bacterial small subunit ribosomal RNA", at positions 227 to 695 of the family's 1533-position model. The record is from RNAcentral.
GGGCUCGCGGCCCAUCAGCUUGUUGGUAGGGUAACGGCCUACCAAGGCAACGACGGGUAGCCGACCUGAGAGGGUGACCGGCCACACUGGGACUGAGACACGGCCCAGACUCCUACGGGAGGCAGCAAGUGGGAAUAUUGUCCAAUGGGCGAAAGCCUGAGACAGCGACGCCGCGUGAGGGAUGAAGGCCUUCGGGUUGUAAACCUCUGUUGACGGGGACGCUGACGGUACCCGUCAGGAAGCCCCGGCUAACUCCGUGCCAGCAGCCGCGGUAAUACGGAGGGGGCAAGCGUUGUCCGGAUUUACUGGGCGUAAAGAGCACGUAGGCGGUCUGCUAAGUCGGCUGUGAAAGCGCUGGGCUCAACCCAGCAAUGUCAGUCGAUACUGGUAGACUUGAGUCCGGGAGAGGGAAGUGGAAUAGCUGGUGUAGCGGUGGAAUGCGUAGAU